Molecule: ribosomal RNA, 965 nt
Filed under: Termitomyces bulborhizus
Lineage: Eukaryota; Fungi; Basidiomycota; Agaricomycetes; Agaricales; Lyophyllaceae
Description: partial 28S ribosomal RNA
Rfam family: Eukaryotic large subunit ribosomal RNA
Source: RNAcentral
UGACCUCAAAUCAGGUAGGACUACCCGCUGAACUUAAGCAUAUCAAUAAGCGGAGGAAAAGAAACUAACAAGGAUUCCCCUAGUAACUGCGAGUGAAGCGGGAAAAGCUCAAAUUUGAAAUCUGGUAGUCUUUUUGUGGCUGCCCGAGUUGUAAUCUAGAGAAGCAUUUAUCCGCGCUGGACCGUGUACAAGUGUCUUGGAAUAGACCAUCAUAGAGGGUGAGAAUCCCGUCUUUGACCACGGACUACCAGGGCUUUUGUGAUGUGCUCUCAAAGAGUCGAGUUGUUUGGGAAUGCAGCUCUAAAUGGGUGGUAAAUUCCAUCUAAAGCUAAAUAAUGGCAAGAGACCGAUAGUGAACAAGUACCGUGAGGGAAAGAUGAAAAGAACUUUGGAAAGAGGGUUAAACAGUACGUGAAAUUGCUGAAAGGGAAGCGCUUGAAGUCAGUCGCGUUGACUGGGGUUCAACCUUUGCUUAUAAGCAUGGUUUAUUUCCCAGUUGACGGGUCAGCAUCAGUUUUGAACUCAAUGGAUAAAGGCCCAAGGGAAUGUGGCACCCUCGGGUGUGUUUAUAGCCCUUGGUCAUAUACAUUGGUUGGGACUGAGGAACUCGGGCAAAAAGGGCUUUAUUGCUGCUUUAUUGCUUAUAGGAUGCUGGCAUAAUGGCUUUAAGCGACCCGUCUUGAAACACGGACCAAGGAGUCUAACAUGCACGCAAGUGUUUGAGUGGAAAACUCAAGCGCGUAAUGAAAGUGAAUAGAGUUGAGAUCCCUUUGGGGAGCAUUGACGCCCAGACCAGAGCUUUUUCAGCAAUGGAUCUGCGGUUGAGCGUGUAUGUUGGGACCCGAAAGAUGGUGAACUAUGCCUGAAUAGGGUGAAGCCAGAGGAAACUCUGGUGGAGGCUCGUAGCGAUUCUGACGUGCAAAUUGAUCGUCAAAUUUGGGUAUAGGGGCGAAAGACUAAUCGAA